RNAcentral lists this long non-coding RNA (454 nucleotides) under Phascolarctos cinereus (koala). Its description in RNAcentral is "lncRNA (ENSPCIG00000032501.1)". Lineage: Eukaryota; Metazoa; Chordata; Mammalia; Diprotodontia; Phascolarctidae. The record is from RNAcentral.
GUUUUAUUUUUAUCUUGAACACCAUCCAAGGGAGUAGAAAGCACAGAGGUCAGAAACAAAGCUGGUUUUCCUUCUGCCUGUGGUCCUUGUGCCAAAGCUGCCUCCCUAACUGGGCUUACUCUGGUACUUCCUGCUUUUGAGAAGCCUUCAUGCAUCAGACUAUUUUGGGAAGACCCUGGGCUCAGCACCCCUGGCUGAGGCCUUGACCUUUCAGAAGAAUGGCAGGGCCGGAGGUCUGGGGCUUCUCUUCCACUAUUAGAGACAUGCAGGGCUAAUUCCCUGUGGCUACUUUGGAGCAGAUGUAACCAAGAAAUCAAUAUAGUCAUUAGAUUAACCUGUGGCAGCCAUGAUGGGAGAGCAGUGCCUACCAUGGAGCGUGGGCUGAGAUGUACGUAUGAGCAAGGAGGAGGGGAGGCGCUUAAAAGGGGAAUACGAUCCACUAAAUUGAAGGGAA